UACAGAGGGGGCAAGCGUUGUCCGGAUUUACUGGGCGUACAGCGCGCGCAGGCGGCCUCGUAUGUGACCGGUGACAUCCUCGGGCUCAACCCGAGGCGGCCCGGUUAGACAGCGGAGCUGGAGGCAGGGAGAGGGAUGUGGAAUACCCGGUGGAGCGGUGAAAUGCGUAGAGAUCGGGUGGAACACCAGCGGCGAAGGCGGGUAGCUGGGCCAACACUGACGCUGAUGCGCGAAAGCUAGGGUAGCAAACGGG
This 253-nucleotide ribosomal RNA is filed under the name uncultured bacterium. RNAcentral's name for it is "partial 16S ribosomal RNA". It matches the Rfam family "Bacterial small subunit ribosomal RNA", at positions 524 to 776 of the family's 1533-position model. The record is from RNAcentral.